AGUGGGGAAUAUUGGACAAUGGGCGCAAGCCUGAUCCAGCCAUGCCGCGUGAGUGAUGAAGGCCCUAGGGUUGUAAAGCUCUUUUACCAGGGAAGAUAAUGACGGUACCUGGAGAAUAAGCCCCGGCUAACUUCGUGCCAGCAGCCGCGGUAAUACGAAGGGGGCUAGCGUUGCUCGGAAUCACUGGGCGUAAAGCGCACGUAGGUGGAUCAUCAAGUCAGGGGUGAAAUCCUGGAGCUCAACUCCAGAACUGCCUUUGAUACUGGCGAUCUUCGAGUCCGGGAGAGGUGGGUGGAACUGCGAGUGUAGAGGUGAAAUUCGUAGAUAUUCGCAAGAACACCAGUGGCGAAGGCGGCUCACUGGCCCGGUACUGACACUGAGGUGCGAAAGCGUGGGGAGCAAA
RNAcentral lists this ribosomal RNA (403 nucleotides) under uncultured Methylobacteriaceae bacterium. RNAcentral describes it as "bacterial SSU rRNA". It matches the Rfam family "Bacterial small subunit ribosomal RNA", at positions 353 to 772 of the family's 1533-position model. Lineage: Bacteria; Pseudomonadati; Pseudomonadota; Alphaproteobacteria; Hyphomicrobiales; Methylobacteriaceae. The record is from RNAcentral.